This 253-nucleotide ribosomal RNA is filed under the name uncultured bacterium. Its description in RNAcentral is "partial 16S ribosomal RNA". It matches the Rfam family "Bacterial small subunit ribosomal RNA", at positions 524 to 776 of the family's 1533-position model. The record is from RNAcentral.
UACGUAGGUGGCAAGCGUUGUCCGGAUUUACUGGGCGUAAAGAGCGCGCAGGCGGCUGGUCAAGUCCGAUGUGAAAUCUCCCGGCUCAACUGGGAAACUGCAUCGGAAACUGAUCGGCUUGAAGGUGGGAGAGGGUAGUGGAAUUCCCGGUGUAGUGGUGAAAUGCGUAGAUAUCGGGAGGAACACCAGUGGCGAAGGCGGCUUCCUGGACCUGUUCUGACACUGAGGAGCGAAAGCGUGGGGAGCGAUCCGG